This 433-nucleotide ribosomal RNA is filed under the name uncultured bacterium. RNAcentral's name for it is "partial 16S ribosomal RNA". It matches the Rfam family "Bacterial small subunit ribosomal RNA", at positions 29 to 507 of the family's 1533-position model. The record is from RNAcentral.
AACGAACGCUGGCGGCAUGCCUAACACAUGCAAGUCGAACGAGACCUUCGGGUCUAGUGGCGCACGGGUGCGUAACGCGUGGGAAUCUGCCCUUGGGUUCGGCAUAACAGUUGGAAACGACUGCUAAUACCGGAUGAUGACGUAAGUCCAAAGAUUUAUCGCCCAAGGAUGAGCCCGCGUAGGAUUAGCUAGUUGGUGAGGUAAAGGCUCACCAAGGCGACGAUCCUUAGCUGGUCUGAGAGGAUGAUCAGCCACACUGGGACUGAGACACGGCCCAGACUCCUACGGGAGGCAGCAGUGGGGAAUAUUGGACAAUGGGCGAAAGCCUGAUCCAGCAAUGCCGCGUGAGUGAUGAAGGCCUUAGGGUUGUAAAGCUCUUUUACCCGGGAUGAUAAUGACAGUACCGGGAGAAUAAGCUCCGGCUAACUCCGUG